This 478-nucleotide ribosomal RNA is filed under the name uncultured bacterium. RNAcentral's name for it is "partial 16S ribosomal RNA". It matches the Rfam family "Bacterial small subunit ribosomal RNA", at positions 28 to 507 of the family's 1533-position model. The record is from RNAcentral.
GAUGAACGCUGGCGGCGUGCUUAACACAUGCAAGUCGAACGGGAAACCUUUUAUUGAAGCUUCGGCAGAUUUAGCUGGCUUCUAGUGGCGGCCGGGUGAGUAACGCGUGGGCAACCUGCUUUAUACAGGGGGAUAACAACAAGAAAUGGUUGCUAAUACUGCAUAAGCGCACAGGACCGCAUGUUUCGGUGUGAAAAGCUCCGGUGGUAUAAGAUGGACCCGCGUUGGAUUAGCUAGUUGGCAGGGUAAUGGCCUACCAAGGCGACGAAGCAUAGCCGGCCUGAUAACGUGAACGACCAGGUUGGGGCUGAGGCACGGCCUAGUCUCCUACGGAGGAGAGCAGAGGGGAAUAUUGCACAAUGAGGGAAGCCGUAAUACCGCGGCGCGGCGUGAAAGGAGAAGUGUCUCGGAAUGUAAUCUUCUAUCAGCCGAAAAGAUAGUGACGGUACCGGACAAAGAAGCCCCGGCUAACUACGUG